Molecule: ribosomal RNA, 433 nt
Filed under: uncultured bacterium
Lineage: Bacteria
Description: partial 16S ribosomal RNA
Rfam family: Bacterial small subunit ribosomal RNA
Source: RNAcentral
AACGAACGCUGGCGGCAUGCCUAACACAUGCAAGUCGAACGAGACCUUCGGUUCUAGUGGCGCACGGGUGCGUAACGCGUGGUAACCUGCCCUUAGGUUCGGAAUAACUCCCCGAUAGGGUUGCUAAUACCGGAUAAUUUCUUCGUACCAAAGAUUUCUCGCCUUUGGAUGGGCCCGCGUUUGAUUAGCUAGUUGGUAGGGUAAAAGCUUACCAAGGCGACGAUCCAUAGCUGGUCUGAGAGGAUGAUCAGCCACACUGGGACUGAGACACGACCCAGACUCCUACGAGAAGCAGCAAUGAGUAAUAUUGGACAAUAGGCGAAAUCCUGAACCAGCAAUGCCGCGUGAAUGAUGAAGGCCUUAGAAUUGUAAAUCACUUUUACCCAAGAUUAUAAUGACAGUACCUGCAGAAUAAGCACCGGCUAACUCCGUG